Molecule: ribosomal RNA, 1493 nt
Filed under: uncultured bacterium
Lineage: Bacteria
Description: partial 16S ribosomal RNA
Rfam family: Bacterial small subunit ribosomal RNA
Source: RNAcentral
AGAGUUUGAUCCUGGCUCAGGACGAACGCUGGCGGCGUGCUUAACACAUGCAAGUCGAACGUGAUUUUUAUGGAAGGACCUUCGGGGACGGAAAUAAAAUGAAAGUGGCGAACGGGUGAGUAACACGUGAGCAACCUACCUUACACAGGGGGAUAGCCGUUGGAAACGACGAUUAAUACCGCAUGAGACCACGAUACUGCAUGGUAUAGGGGUCAAAGAUUUAUCGGUGUAAGAUGGGCUCGCGUCUGAUUAGCUAGUUGGAAGGGUAAAGGCCUACCAAGGCGACGAUCAGUAGCCGGUCUGAGAGGAUGAACGGCCACACUGGAACUGAGACACGGUCCAGACUCCUACGGGAGGCAGCAGUGGGGAAUAUUGCACAAUGGGGGAAACCCUGAUGCAGCGACGCCGCGUGAGCGAAGAAGGUUUUCGAAUCGUAAAGCUCUGUCCUAUGAGAAGAUAAUGACGGUAUCAUAGGAGGAAGCCCCGGCUAAAUACGUGCCAGCAGCCGCGGUAAUACGUAUGGGGGCGAGCGUUGUCCGGAUUUAUUGGGCGUAAAGCGAGCGCAGGCGGUUAGAUAAGUCUGAAGUUAAAGGCUGUGGCUUAACCAUAGUACGCUUUGGAAACUGUUUAACUUGAGUGCAAGAGGGGAGAGUGGAAUUCCAUGUGUAGCGGUGAAAUGCGUAGAUAUAUGGAGGAACACCCGGUGGCGAAAGCGGCUCUCUGGCUUGUAACUGACGCUGAGGCUCGAAAGCGUGGGGAGCAAACAGGAUUAGAUACCCUGGUAGUGCACGCCGUAAACGAUGAGUGCUAGGUGUUAGACCCUUUCCGGGGUUUAGUGCCGUAGCUAACGCAUUAAGCACUCCGCCUGGGGAGUACGACCGCAAGGUUGAAACUCAAAGGAAUUGACGGGGGCCCGCACAAGCGGUGGAGCAUGUGGUUUAAUUCGAAGGCAUCGCGAAGAACCUUACCAGGUCUUGACAUCCCUCUGACCGCUCUAGAGAUAGAGCUUUCCUUCGGGACAGAGGUGACAGGUGGUGCAUGGUUGUCGUCAGCUCGUGUCGUGAGAUGUUGGGUUAAGUCCCGCAACGAGCGCAACCCCUAUUGUUAGUUGCCAUCAUUUAGUUGGGCACUCUAGCGAGACUGCCGGUAAUAAACCGGAGGAAGGUGGGGAUGAUGUCAAAUCAUCAUGCCCCUUAUGACCUGGGCUACACACGUGCUACAAUGGUUGGUACAACGAGUCGCAAGCCGGUGACGGCAAGCUAAUCUCUUAAAGCCAAUCUCAGUUCGGAUUGUAGGCUGCAACUCGCCUACAUGAAGUCGGAAUCGCUAGUAAUCGCGGAUCAGCACGCCGCGGUGAAUACGUUCCCGGGCCUUGUACACACCGCCCGUCACACCACGAGAGUUUGUAACACCCGAAGUCGGUGAGGUAACCAUUUGGAGCCAGCCGCCUAAGGUGGGAUAGAUGAUUGGGGUGAAGUCGUAACAAGGUAACC